UGGGUGUCUCACACCAUGGGAACAGCGACAAAGCCGUUCAUUGUAACACAAUGGCCAACAGUGGCUGAAGUAAUGGCUGGAGAGGAUGUCAUUUUAAACUGCAACAUUGUAGAGUUGUACUCCCCGUGUUCGACAGUGACUUGGCUGAAAGUCAUUCCCGAGAAUGCGACGAUCAGCCUCACCGAUAGACUUCAAAUGGACCCUCAUCACUCAUCCAACCAGUGUAAUGGUGUUUGUACUGCUGUUAUCACCAAUUCAACAGUGCAUGACUCCAGUAUGUACUACUGUGCAGCUGUGCAAAGCCGCUUUGCUCACAUUGGUAAUGGAUCCAGAGUCAUUGUGAAAGAACACACUGUUUUUCCUGUUAUUGAUAUUCUUACACCGCUGUUCACAAACGGUCCUUUGGUCCCACUUUUAUGUGUUGUGAAUGGGGCCGAGGCUUCUCGGGUUCAUAUGUCCUGGACUGUGGAGGGGAGAAAAGAGAAAGGACUGCCAGUUUUGACAAAUGGAAAUGCUGGUGCCAUCCAGAUCACUAGGAACCAGAUCCUGAUAACUGCUGAGGAGUGGGAAAGGAAGGUGCAGUGUGUGUGUGUAGUGGAGUUUGGAGGACAGCUUUAUACAAAGACCCUUGAUGCACCAGAUGUGUGUUAUGCUGUGAAAUACAUAUAUCUGUCUGUUUGCUUAAUUUUUGGUCUGCUGCUUCUGAUAACAGUGAUAGUUUACAGUCUGGGACAGAAAACUGUUGUGAUGAUGUGUCUAUGCAAAAACAUAUAAUUUCAAAGAGUUUUGAGUUUUUAUCUGUUAUUUUGCUCUGACACAUUAUUAUUUGUCAAACUUAUUUAGGCAUUUGGCAUUGCUGUACAUCAGAUGAAAGAUGGCAACAGUUAUUAAUAUUAGCAUGAGUAACUGUGAUGUUUUUGUUCAGAUUUUUGUUGAUUGUUUAGGAUCUUUGAAGUUUUGAAUGUGUUCAAGUGAAAUGUCAAAGUGAACUGAAAGGGUAAAUUUAGACUUUCACCUAAUAUGAUCUGAACUUUGUUUAUUACAAUAAAGUGAAUAAAAUACCCGAAUAAAAUAAAUGU
Molecule: long non-coding RNA, 1079 nt
Organism: Cyprinus carpio (common carp)
Lineage: Eukaryota; Metazoa; Chordata; Actinopteri; Cypriniformes; Cyprinidae
Source: Ensembl